GUCCCGGGGGGGCCUGCCGCAGGAGCGGGGCGCCUCUUCCGCACCUCCAGGUCACGGGGAACCUGGUGGUGACUGCUGGCUCCAGGGCCUGCCAGGCUGUGGGUCACCAAGCAGUUUCCUGUGGAAAGCCUCCCACCGGAACUCCCUGGGAAGCAAACACCAUCCUGGACGGUGAGGGCCACGGAGCUGAUGGCCAAGCAAACACCAUCAAACCCCUGGCUCAGAAAAACAAGCAGAGCCUGCCCACAAGGAUCUGUAGAUGCUACUUUUCGUUCAGAGACAUGACGUUCCCGUUGGUGGUCAAGUGUCUGGGCUCCUCCAGCCUGCACCGUUGUUAUCGGAACAAGGCUUCGAAAACCUGCUGUUGGGUCUGGCCCCGCUGGACAUUGACAGCCACCUCGCUCAGUGCCUGGCGGGAAGCACAGAAGACGUGGUGUGGUGAGCCGACAGCCCUGCGAGUCCAGCCAGGCGGACGCCCAGACUCCCUCUGCCUGAACCGUGUCCUUCCCGCUUCGACCGCUGUAGUAAACUUCAGUGUGGACCCCGGUGUUGUGUGUUUGUAUCGGGAGCGAAACAUGGGCCCCUUUGUCUUUUCGGAUUACGUUAAGCCGAGUGCUCGCCUGCCGUUCGAACUGGCAGAGCCGCUCAGCAGAGGGACCCAGGCCCAGGUGGAGGAGCUGAGACUCCGGAGCAGAACUGGCCGGGUCUACAGAUGGGCCGUCGGCGGGGUAGCACGUUUUCCCGUCUCCACGGACUGCACUCGCACCGGGUUUUAACUCCCCGAGGAACUGCUCCUUAUGCGGGGCAGGCCGCCGUGAGGCGCCCGCGCAGCUCACCGACGGGCGGGCGGGGACCAGCGGGAGGGACCGGGCCAGGCGCCACGGGCAGCAGGCAGGCCANNNNNNNNNNNNNNNNNNNNNNNNNNNNNNNNNNNNNNNNNNNNNNCUUCCCAGGGCAAGUAGAAAAUGGGGCACAAGACUGUUUAUAGGUAGUUUUCCUUCCAGUGCUGCCGGCCCACAGAUUCUGGAAGAGCUGGGCUUUGGUGGCAUCCACCGUGGCCGCAGAGCAGUGGCGGCAGGGAGCCGGUCACGAUCCACAAAGAGACCGUGGAGGAACCUAACUGCAGGUGACCAAGGGAAAGACGCCUGUCUGCAAAGGCCGCACGCUGUAUGACCCUCGCUCUAGGGGCUUCUGGAAAAGGCAGAACUGCAGAAACAGUAAGGAGACCCGUAGUCACCCGAGGACGCGCACAUGGGACUUUCGGGGCAGCGAGGCUACUUGCGUGAUCUGCACUGGUGGAUACAGGUCACCAUUUGUCCCAACCGCGCUCUGCACCCCCAAGACGUGAACCCGGCGUCGUGGGGACGAUGACGUGUCGGCGCGGUUCAUCCAUGGCCACACAUGGCCCCUGGGAGGGGAGGGUGACGGUGGGGGCAGGGGCACGUGGGAAACCUCGGCAGAUGGCCUGCGGCUUACGUGAACCCAAAGCCACUCUAAAUAAAGGCUAGUUUCUACAACGCCUCCA
This 1525-nucleotide long non-coding RNA is filed under the name Ursus maritimus (polar bear). RNAcentral's name for it is "lncRNA (ENSUMAG00000010373.1)". The record is from RNAcentral. Lineage: Eukaryota; Metazoa; Chordata; Mammalia; Carnivora; Ursidae.